CCCGCACAAGCGGAGGAACAUGUGGUUUAAUUCGAUGAUACGCGAGGAACCUUACCUGGGCUUAAAUGGGAGUGACGUUAUCAGAGAUGGUAAUUUCUUCGGACACUCUUCAAGGUGCUGCAUGGUUGUCGUCAGCUCGUGCCGUGAGGUGUCGGGUUAAGUCCCAUAACGAGCGCAACCCUUACUGUUAGUUGCCAUCGGGUAAAGCCGGGGACUCUAGCGGGACUGCCACCGUAAGGUGAGAGGAAGGUGGGGAUGACGUCAAAUCAGCACGGCCCUUAUGUCCAGGGCUACACACGUGUUACAAUGGCCGGUACAGAGGGCAGCUACACUGCGAAGUGAUGCCAAUCCCGAAAGCCGGUCUCAGUUCGGAUCGAAGUCUGCAACCCGACUUCGUGAAGUUGGAUUCGCUAGUAAUCGCGCAUCAGCCAUGGCGCGGUGAAUACGUUCCCGGGCCUU
This 459-nucleotide ribosomal RNA is filed under the name uncultured Sphingobacteriales bacterium. Its description in RNAcentral is "bacterial SSU rRNA". It matches the Rfam family "Bacterial small subunit ribosomal RNA", at positions 920 to 1382 of the family's 1533-position model. Lineage: Bacteria; Pseudomonadati; Bacteroidota; Sphingobacteriia; Sphingobacteriales. The record is from RNAcentral.